AAUAAAUGCAGUUUGGAACUGUUCAUAUCCAACGUUUAACCGUUUGUCUUAUUUGAAAAAAAAAAUUAUGAUUAUUUUUUUAUUGUUAUUAGAUGAUAAAAUAUGAAUAGUAAUUUAUGUGUGACUAAUUUUUAAAUUUUUUUCAUAAAUUUUUUAAAUAAAAUGGACGAUCAAAUGUUAGACACGAAUACUCACAACUAUACUUAUU
Molecule: microRNA precursor, 208 nt
Organism: Oryza sativa Japonica Group (Japanese rice)
Lineage: Eukaryota; Viridiplantae; Streptophyta; Magnoliopsida; Poales; Poaceae
Rfam family: MIR812 microRNA precursor family
Source: Rfam